UGGCAAAAUGGCCCAAACCACAGGGACUAAAAUGGCAAUUAACUCAAUUAAAUAUGUCCACAUAUGAGAUAAUCUUUACUUGUGCUUUAAUGACAGCUUCGUAAUCAUCUGGUGAAGCUCGAAACUUUGCUUCUGCGACGAAUUUACCGUAAUGGAUUCGUUUAGAGAGGACCUGCAAGAUUGUGUCACAUGUUGCGGUUGACCCGCAGUUAC
RNAcentral lists this long non-coding RNA (213 nucleotides) under Helianthus annuus (common sunflower). RNAcentral's name for it is "sRNA HanXRQr2_Chr07g0308721". Lineage: Eukaryota; Viridiplantae; Streptophyta; Magnoliopsida; Asterales; Asteraceae. The record is from RNAcentral.